This 409-nucleotide long non-coding RNA is filed under the name Terrapene triunguis (Three-toed box turtle). Its description in RNAcentral is "Terrapene carolina triunguis (Three-toed box turtle) lncRNA (ENSTMTG00000018586.1)". The record is from RNAcentral. Lineage: Eukaryota; Metazoa; Chordata; Testudines; Emydidae.
CUGGCCCCAUUACUGCUCCCAGCACACACUGACCUAGAGGCUUCCUUGACUGGCCCCCACUUUCCACGCGGAGCCGUCCGAGGGCUCGGAGCAGGAGAAGGCUGUCUACUCCCUCAGCAAGCGGCAGAAGAUCCUGAGGCUGGUCAGCCAGUGGGUGCUGCUCUAUGGGCCCCUGCUGCAAGCCGACCACUGUGCCAUAACCCUGCUGCAGAACCUCUCGGAUUUCGUGAGCCGGGAUCCUCGCCUGUGCAGCCUGCUCCGGGACCAGACACAGGAUCGUCGAAGGAACAGAACACUGGAGAACGGUGGCGGAAGCGCAUCUCCACAGCCCAAGGUACCGACAGCCCAGCAGCGCCGCGGGGCACCUGCUGCCCCUUCCGGGGGGCAUGGUGGGUGGGCAGGGAGCCAA